Molecule: long non-coding RNA, 1952 nt
Organism: Asparagus officinalis (garden asparagus)
Lineage: Eukaryota; Viridiplantae; Streptophyta; Magnoliopsida; Asparagales; Asparagaceae
Exons: 2
Source: RefSeq, a predicted model, not a curated record
UCCGACAUGCAUACUGUCAUUUUAUCCGUUGAUCUUGCAUGUUAGCGAAUGAUAUCAUGUGGAUACAUACAUCUCGAAAUUACAACAGAUAAGUACAAUGUCUCUAUAAGGGCAAAAAAUAUUGGUCUCCUUUCAUAUAAUUCACACGUGUGCUUGUGGUUCAUGUUCUUUCUUCUUUUUUAGGACUGACGUUUCUUAACACACUACAUGGGUAUUAUGUUUUGUUUACCUUUAAUUGGGAAAUCAUGAAAUGAGAUAGUUAAUUUAUAGUUGUAAAUUGUAUUUGUUCUAUUAUAGUAUUAUCUAAUCAAGACAGUGACUGACAGCUGCACAUUUCAACUGCUGUUAUAGUAUCUACCUUAUCCUGUGUGCACUGAGAGGCAAAAGCUACAUUAUGCUGUUGUUGUAAGUUAGUUCUUUGGUGAUAGGAUGAAUAUCAUAGGUUUCCCUUUUUAAGAAAAACCAUGAAAAAGAUAAACAUAUUAACAAACUACUAGCAAAUUUGAACUUCAUUUGUAUCACCUUGUUUGCAUAUGUUAUAUUUUAUUUUACAGGAUCCUCCUUUGAGAAAUACAGUCGUGGCAAUGGACCAAUGGUGCACGUAAAACUAUCAUAUGCAAUAUUGUUAAGGUUAAGCCACGGAAAAUGUUUUCUGCUGUAAGUUGAUGCAGAAGAAUUUCUUUGUGGCUUUAUGAAUGAUUUCUUAACAUAAAAUCUGACCUGUCAAACUAUUUAUGGUCAUUUCCGUCACAUUAUUAGCUAACUUUUGGUCUAUGAAGCACGGACACGCAUAAUAUGAAGCCAUGUCGUGUCGUGUCUGUGUCGGACACACGUGUCGAACACACGUAUCCUAUAUAUUUUUUAGGAUUUGCCUCGUGUCGGUGUGUCGGAUGGCCGUGUCGGAUCCGUGUCCGUGCUACAUACCUUUUGGUCAUUAUACAUUAUAUACACUUUGUUAUGGUGUUGUUUCCAUGAGGACUUUGCUAUUGAUAUUAGGUCUAGAUAAUUGGUUUUGACUCUUUAAUUUACUGGGAAUCUGGGAUGAUGAUGCAUUAAAAUAUUGGGCAUGUUAUUAUUUUCCUUCUUUAUGCUUUUUCUCUAACGUGUAAUUGUUAAUCUGCUAUCCAGUUAAUAUUGAAGUAAGGAUCAGAUAAUUAACUUCUCUUUAUAGGAAUGAGGAAUUUCAUAUACUUACCUUGAUCUUCUUGUUGAAAUUUCGUUCGCUCCUCUUCUUCAAAUACCUGUGGAUCUUUUCCUUCCUCUCCUCAGGUGAAAGACGACCAACUUUCAAUGUAGAAUCAUCCAACGGCGCAAUGUCAGAUGUGGACAAUGUGGUGUGGUUGCUGUUGCAUCCGUCUACCAGAUUUUUGUAAUUGAUAGGUAGCAGUUGUAGUAGUAUUGACUGGCAUUAAAUCAGGUGGAUCAUUAUCAUCAAGGAGGCUGGAGAUGGUGGCAGGGUCAAAAUCGAAGAAGGCAUCGUCGCUGAUGAAGCACAGGCUUUCACUUUCACAGCUGGCAGCAGUUAACGGACCCUCACUUUCGNGCGGCGGCGGCGGCGGCGGUGGUGGUUGUGGUCAUGGGAGAAGAAGCGACGGGGAUAAUGUUGUUGUUGCUGAUAGUUGGACAGCAUGAGGUAUCCGAGGGGGUUAUCUCAUCAGCGAAGAAGUUUAUGUCAUCUUCAACCGGGAAAUCGAGGAUUUGGGAAGUGAGCGGAUCGGAGAUGCCCUCCUGUUUAAAAUGUAAAAAGAGAGAUAAUAUCGAAGGGGGGAGGACAUAUCCUUGUAACAAAAGCCAAAAGUGUGAAGAUUCUAUGUAUAAAACUGUGCUGGGUUUUGAUCAGUCUCGUCAACUGAUCGGUUUGUUCCUCUUGAUGCUUAAUUAUUUUGGAUAGAAACUCUUAUCAGAAUAUUUAUCCAUGCGAUGACUCUCUAAUUUGGUGGAGGCUUGAGAUA